CAACAAGUGGUUUAUGAUUAGAAUAUUAAUUUUGGGUAUUAGAGGUAUAGGGUUUCCUAUCUUGUUGA
RNAcentral lists this transfer RNA (68 nucleotides) under Nesophrosyne sp. 48 GMB-2012. Its description in RNAcentral is "tRNA-Pro". Lineage: Eukaryota; Metazoa; Arthropoda; Insecta; Hemiptera; Cicadellidae. The record is from RNAcentral.